CCAACCUUAGCUCAAACAGUAAAGAAUCUGCCUGCAAUGCAGGAGACCCCAGGUUCAAUCCCUGGGUUGGG
This 71-nucleotide transfer RNA is filed under the name Bos taurus (domestic cattle). It matches the Rfam family "tRNA". From Rfam's summary of the family: Transfer RNA (tRNA) molecules are approximately 80 nucleotides in length. Their secondary structure includes four short double-helical elements and three loops (D, anti-codon, and T loops). RNAcentral also lists the same sequence under 5 other names. The record is from Rfam by way of RNAcentral. Lineage: Eukaryota; Metazoa; Chordata; Mammalia; Artiodactyla; Bovidae.